AGUUCGAUCCUGGCUCAGAUUGAACGCGCUGGCCGGGAUGCUUUACACAUGCAAGUCGAACGGCAGCACGGACUUCGGUCUGGUGGCGAGUGGCGAACGGGUGAGUAAUGUAUCGGAACGUGCCUAGUAGCGGGGGAUAACUACGCGAAAGCGUAGCUAAUACCGCAUACGCCCUUCGGGGAAAGCGGGGGACCUUCGGGCCUCGCACUAUUAGAGCGGCCGAUAUCGGAUUAGCUAGUUGGUAGGGUAACGGCUCACCAAGGCGACGAUCCGUAGCUGGUUUGAGAGGACGACCAGCAGCCACACUGGGACUGAGACACGGCCCAGACUCCUACAGGAGGCAGCAGUGGGGAAUUUUGGACAAUGGGAAACCUGAUCCAGCCACUCCGCGUGUGCGAUGAAGGCCUUCGGGUUGUAAAGCACUUUUUUGGCAGGAAAGAAACGGCACGGGAUAAUACCCCGUGCAACUGACGGUACCUGCAGAAUAAGCACCGGCUAACUACGUGCCAGCAGCCGCGGUAAUACGUAAGUGCAAGCGUUAAUCGGAAUUACUGGGCGUAAAGCGUGCGCAGGCGGUUCGGAAAAGAAAGAUGUGAAAUCCCAAGAGCUUAACUUUGGAACUGCAUUUUUAACUACCGAGCUAGAGUGUGUCAGAGGGAGGUGGAAUUCCGCGUGUAGCAGUGAAAUGCGUAGAUAUGCGGAGGAACACCGAUGGUGAAGGCAGCCUCCUGGGAUAACACUGACGCUCAUGCACGAAAGCGUGGGAGCAAACAGGAUUAGAUACCCUGGUAGUCCACGCCCUAAACGAUGUCAACUAGCUGUUGGGGCCUUCGGGCCUUGGUAGCGCAGCUAACGCGUGAAGUUGACCGCCUGGGGUACGGUCGCAAGAUUAAAACUCAAAGGAAUUGACAGGGACCCGCACAAGCGGUGGAUGAUGUGGAUUAAUUCGAUGCAACGCGAAAAACCUUACCUACCCUUGACAUGUCUGGAAUCCCGAAGAGGUUUGGGAGUGCUCGCAAGAGAACCGGAACACAGGUGCUGCAUGGCUGUCGUCAGCACGUGUCGUGAGAUGUUGGGUUAGGUCCCGCAGCAGGCGCAACCCUUGUCAUUAGUUGCUACGAAAGGGCACUCUAAUGAGACUGCCGGUGGCAAACCGGAGGAAGGUGGGGAUGACGUCAAGUCCUCAUGGCCCUUAUGCGGGGUAGGGCUUCACACGUCAUACAAUGGUCGGGACAGAGGGUCGCCAACCCGCGGGGAGCCAAUCCCAGAGAAACCCGAUCGUAGUCCGGAUCGCAGUCUGCAACUCGACUGCGUGAAGUCGGAAUCGCUAGUAAUCGCGGAUCCAGCAUGUCGCAGUGAAUACGUUCCCGGGUCUUGUACACACCGCCCGUCACACCAUGGGAGUGGGUUUUACCAAGUAGUUAGCCUAACCGUAAGGAGGGCGAUUACCACGGUAGGAUUCAUGACUGGGGUGAAGUCGUAACAAGGUAA
Molecule: ribosomal RNA, 1491 nt
Filed under: uncultured Bordetella sp.
Lineage: Bacteria; Pseudomonadati; Pseudomonadota; Betaproteobacteria; Burkholderiales; Alcaligenaceae
Description: partial 16S-23S ribosomal RNA intergenic spacer
Rfam family: Bacterial small subunit ribosomal RNA
Source: RNAcentral